RNAcentral lists this ribosomal RNA (502 nucleotides) under uncultured bacterium. RNAcentral's name for it is "partial 16S ribosomal RNA". It matches the Rfam family "Bacterial small subunit ribosomal RNA", at positions 29 to 507 of the family's 1533-position model. The record is from RNAcentral.
AGCGAACGCUGGCGGCGUGCCUAACACAUGCAAGUCGAACGUGAAAGGGAGCAAUCCCAAGUAAAGUGGCGUACGGGUGAGUAACACGUAGGUAAUCUACCCCAGAAUCUGGAAUAACCGGCCGAAAGGCUGGCUAAUACUGGAUAGAGCGACGGAAUCCGUAACUGGGUUUUUCGGGAAAGGGAGCCUGUAAAAAGGCCUUCGUUCUGGGAUGAGCCUGCGUCCCAUCAGCUAGCUGCUGAGGGAAAAGCUUACCAAGGCUAUGAAGAGUAGCUGGACGGAGAUGACGAUCAGCCGCACUGAAAGGGAGACACGCACCAUACAGCUACGGGAGGAGGCAGUGAUGAAGCUUGCGCGAUGAACGAGAGUCUGACACAGCAGCGCCGCAUGAGUGACGAAGACCUUCGGGUUGUAAAGCUCUGUCGUGUGGGACGAAAAUGCUUGGAGUUCACAGAUCCAGGAACUGACGAUACCACGAAAGGAGGCACCGGCUAACUCCGUG